RNAcentral lists this transfer RNA (44 nucleotides) under Mentha spicata (spearmint). Its description in RNAcentral is "partial tRNA-Leu". Lineage: Eukaryota; Viridiplantae; Streptophyta; Magnoliopsida; Lamiales; Lamiaceae. The record is from RNAcentral.
GAAAAUCCGUCGACUUUAAAAAUCGUGAGGGUUCAAGUCCCUCU